RNAcentral lists this transfer RNA (72 nucleotides) under Marmota monax (woodchuck). RNAcentral describes it as "tRNA.Ser". It matches the Rfam family "tRNA". Rfam says of the family: Transfer RNA (tRNA) molecules are approximately 80 nucleotides in length. Lineage: Eukaryota; Metazoa; Chordata; Mammalia; Rodentia; Sciuridae. The record is from RNAcentral.
UGAGUUGAGGCUCAGUGGUAGAGCACUCACCAAGAACAUGCGAGGCCCUGGGUUCGAUCCUCAGCAACACAU